AUUGAACGCUGGCGGCAGGCCUAACACAUGCAAGUCGAGCGGAUGAAGGGAGCUUGCUCCCGGAUUCAGCGGCGGACGGGUGAGUAAUGCCUAGGAAUCUGCCUGGUAGUGGGGGAUAACGUCCGGAAACGGGCGCUAAUACCGCAUACGUCCUGAGGGAGAAAGUGGGGGAUCUUCGGACCUCACGCUAUCAGAUGAGCCUAGGUCGGAUUAGCUAGUUGGUGGGGUAAAGGCCUACCAAGGCGACGAUCCGUAACUGGUCUGAGAGGAUGAUCAGUCACACUGGAACUGAGACACGGUCCAGACUCCUACGGGAGGCAGCAGUGGGGAAUAUUGGACAAUGGGCGAAAGCCUGAUCCAGCCAUGCCGCGUGUGUGAAGAAGGUCUUUGGAUUGUAAAGCACUUUAAGUUGGGAGGAAGGGCAGUAAGUUAAUACCUUGCUGUUUUGACGUUACCAACAGAAUAAGCACCGGCUAACUUCGUG
RNAcentral lists this ribosomal RNA (484 nucleotides) under uncultured bacterium. RNAcentral describes it as "partial 16S ribosomal RNA". It matches the Rfam family "Bacterial small subunit ribosomal RNA", at positions 30 to 507 of the family's 1533-position model. The record is from RNAcentral.